CACCGGGAUGUUCAUAACCCUUUGUUGUCCGACUCUGUUGCCUCCGGGGCGACCCUGCCUUCGGGCGGGGGCUCCGGGUGGACACUUCAAACUCUUGCGUAACUUUGCAGUCUGAGUAAACUUAAUUAAUAAAUUAAAACUUUUAACAACGGAUCUCUUGGUUCUGGCAUCGAUGAAGAACGCAGCGAAAUGCGAUAAGUAAUGUGAAUUGCAGAAUUCAGUGAAUCAUCGAAUCUUUGAACGCACAUUGCGCCCCCUGGUAUUCCGGGGGGCAUGCCUGUUCGAGCGUCAUUUCACCACUCAAGCCUCGCUUGGUAUUGGGCAUCGCGGUCCGCCGCGUGCCUCAAAUCGACCGGCUGGGUCUUCUGUCCCCUAAGCGUUGUGGAAACUAUUCGCUAAAGGGUGUUCGGGAGGCUACGCCGUAAAACAACCCCAUUUCUAAGGUUGACCUCGGAUCAGGUAGGGAUACCCGCUGAACUUAAGCAUAUCAAUAA
This 494-nucleotide unclassified non-coding RNA is filed under the name Cladosporium anthropophilum. Its description in RNAcentral is "sequence contains ITS1, 5.8S rRNA gene and ITS2". The stretch from base 138 to 291 matches the Rfam family "5.8S ribosomal RNA". The record is from RNAcentral. Lineage: Eukaryota; Fungi; Ascomycota; Dothideomycetes; Cladosporiales; Cladosporiaceae.